AGAGUUUGAUCCUGGCUCAGGAUUAACUCUAGCAGGAUGCCUAAUACAUGCAAGUCGAACGAGGUAGCAAUACCUAGUGGCAAACGGGUGAGUAAUGCAUGCUCAAUCUACCCAUAAGAGGGAGAUAACAGCUCGAAAGAGUUGCUAAUAUCCCAUAUCAUAUGAAGACAUAAGUCUUUAUAUCUAAAGUUCCGUUUGGAACGCUUUUGGAUGAGAGUGUGUCUUAUCAGAUAGUUGGUGAGGUAACGGCCCACCAAGUCGAUGACGAGUAGCUGUGCUGAGAGGCAGAACAGCCACAAUGGGACUGAGACACGGUCCAUACUCCUACGGGAGGCAGCAGUAGGGAAUUUUUCACAAUGGGCGAAAGCCUGAUGGAGCAAUCCUGCGUGGAUGAUGAAGGCCCUUUGGGUCGUAAAAUCCUUUUAUAAGGGACGAAUGGCAUAACUAGGAAAUGAGUUAUGAAUGACUGUACCUUUUGAAUAAGUAACGGCUAACUAUGUGCCAGCAGCCGCGGUAAUACAUAGGUUACAAGCGUUAUCCGGAUUUACUGGGCGUAAAGCGAGCGCAGAUGGAUCAACAAGUCUGGUGUUAAAUAUCAAUGCUCAACGUUGGUAUGCAUUGGAAACUGUAGGUCUAGAGUUUGAUAGGAAGUUUUAGAACUCCAUGUGGAGCGGUGGAAUGCGCAGAUAUAUGGAAGAAUACCGGUGGUGAAAACGAAAACUUAGGUCACAACUGACAUUUAGGCUCGAAAGUGUGGGGAGCAAAUAGGAUUAGAUACCCUGGUAGUCCACGCUGUAAACGAUGAUUACUAGGUGUUGGGAGGCUAUAGCCUUUCGGUGCCGUCGCAAACGCAUUAAGUAAUCCACCUGGGGAGUACGUUCGCAAGAAUGAAACUCAAAGGAAUUGACGGGGACCCGCACAAGCGGUGGAGCAUGUGGUUUAAUUCGAAGCAACGCGAAGAACCUUACCAAAUCUUGACAUCCCGAUGAAAAGCUAUGUAACGUAGCUCCUACUUCGGUACAUCGGUGACAGGUGGUGCAUGGUUGUCGUCAGCUCGUGUCGUGAGAUGUUGGGUUAAGUCCCGCAACGAGCGCAACCCCUAUCUUUAGUAGCCAGCAUUUUGGAUGGGCACUCUAGAGAGACUGCCAGGGUUAACCUGGAGGAAGGUGGGGAUGACGUCAAAUCAUCAUGCCCCUUAUGAUUUGGGCUACACACGUGCUACAAUGGCGUAAACAAAGAGAAGCGAUCCUGUGAGGGGGAGCAAAUCUCAAAAAUAACGUCUCAGUUCGGAUUGUAGUCUGCAACUCGACUACAUGAAGCUGGAAUCGCUAGUAAUCGCAGAUCAGAAUGCUGCGGUGAAUACGUUCCCGGGUCUUGUACACACCGCCGGUCA
This 1393-nucleotide ribosomal RNA is filed under the name uncultured bacterium. RNAcentral's name for it is "partial 16S ribosomal RNA". It matches the Rfam family "Bacterial small subunit ribosomal RNA". The record is from RNAcentral.